Long non-coding RNA from Passer domesticus (house sparrow), 499 nucleotides. RefSeq lists it as uncharacterized. The record is from RefSeq and is a predicted model, not a curated record. The transcript is spliced from 2 exons. NCBI's taxonomy places the organism in Eukaryota, Metazoa, Chordata, Aves, Passeriformes, Passeridae.
AGGAAAACAAGUGAGAAGCAUGGAGUAGCAGAAAGAAAUCUUUGCUAUGGCCUCAGCCUCCUGCACCAUCUGUUGCCACAUCACCAAGCUAAAACUGGUGCAGACUGCUGCAUGCACACACGCACAUAGGCUAAGCUGAGAGAUGAACAGCUAUCAUGUCUUUUGCCUAGAGCAGCGCUUUCCAACCUUCAGGCUAUUCUGAGCCAAAUCAGCUCAUUCUUGGGUUUGGAAAAGUCUGGCAGCAAUUAUGGGACUCUGCUGUGAAUACUUAUAAACAUGAAUGAGAUUUUCUUAUAAUAUAUAUAAAAACAAAUCUGAAAUCUAUUCUACAUUUUCUAAGCAGGAGCCAACUUAUUCUUUUAGAUAUGCAGCACUUGAAUUUCGAUAUAUUCUUUUAUAAAGGUUGCUGUUAGCAUUAAAAAAGAAAAGUUUGGUGUAAUUAUACUCAUAUUUAUAACCCUAAGAUGUUGUAUGAAUAAAUGACAUCUUUUAAGCUGGG